AACGAACGCUGGCGGCAUGCCUAACACAUGCAAGUCGAACGAUUGCCUUCGGGUGAUAGUGGCGCACGGGUGCGUAACGCGUGGGAAUCUGCCCUUAGGUUCGGAAUAACAGCUGGAAACGGCUGCUAAUACCGGAUGAUAUCGCGAGAUCAAAGAUUUAUCGCCUGAGGAUGAGCCCGCGUUGGAUUAGGUAGUUGGUGGGGUAAAGGCCUACCAAGCCGACGAUCCAUAGCUGGUCUGAGAGGAUGAUCAGCCACACUGGGACUGAGACACGGCCCAGACUCCUACGGGAGGCAGCAGUGGGGAAUAUUGGACAAUGGGCGCAAGCCUGAUCCAGCAAUGCCGCGUGAGUGAUGAAGGCCCUAGGGUUGUAAAGCUCUUUUACCCGGGAAGAUAAUGACUGUACCAGGAGAAUAAGCCCCGGCUAACUCCGUG
RNAcentral lists this ribosomal RNA (435 nucleotides) under uncultured bacterium. RNAcentral describes it as "partial 16S ribosomal RNA". It matches the Rfam family "Bacterial small subunit ribosomal RNA", at positions 29 to 507 of the family's 1533-position model. The record is from RNAcentral.